UACGUAGGGUGCGAGCGUUGUCCGGAAUUAUUGGGUUUAAAGGGUGCGUAGGCGGCCUUAUAAGUCAGUGGUGAAAGCCCAUCGCUCAACGAUGGAACUGCCAUUGAUACUGUAAGGCUUGAGUACAGACGAGGUAGGCGGAAUUGAUGGUGUAGCGGUGAAAUGCAUAGAUACCAUCAAGAACCCCGAUUGCGUAGGCAGCUCGCUGAGCCGAAACUGACGCUGAGGCACGAAAGCGUGGGGAGCGAACAGG
RNAcentral lists this ribosomal RNA (253 nucleotides) under uncultured bacterium. RNAcentral's name for it is "partial 16S ribosomal RNA". It matches the Rfam family "Bacterial small subunit ribosomal RNA", at positions 524 to 776 of the family's 1533-position model. The record is from RNAcentral.